UUUUUUUUUUUUUUUUUUUUUGGUGGGGGGAUAAGCCUAUCUCAUGCAAAACCUGGAACAUACUUAACUAAAAUACAUUUGUUUGUCUGAAAUUGAAACAGAACCAAGCAUCCUGUUUUGUUUUAUGUGGCAGCCCUAUUUGGGAGUAAUGAAGUUCAAUUCAUUUCAUGGAGACCUUGACUUCUCGCUCCUGGCUCAGGAGUAAGACCUCUCCAGAGCCCAUGAUUCGUAUAAAGCCUUGAUCAGAGGACACGAAGAGUCACAUCUAAAAUGCUGAUAAUGAAUUCAUUUAUUCAUUGACCAAGCCAGAGCCAGAGCCAGGACUCGCCCUCAUCUGGCCAAUUCCAGAGACACAAAGCCAGGACAUGCCCUGGGAAGGCUGCCUGGCGGCGUCUGUGUCCACAGCCCCAGCACACAAGCAGCCUCAUGAUCCCCUGCCCCUCCACACCUCCAAAUACAAAGUGCAGGAAGGAGUGAGUGAGUGGAAGCUCCCGAGCUGGAGCAGAGCUGCGGGGGGCGCCACACCGGGUCAGGUGUCCCCAGAGUUUCAGUGGGACUGGAUUGAAGGCCUGUCCACACCUCACCAGUUUACAAUUGUCCCGACACUAAUUUUGGAAACAGGCACGAGCUCUUGUUAGAAGAAAGACAGAAAGAGAACAGAGAAAGAGGAAUGAAGGGCAGGGGAGGGGACGGGAAGGAGAGAGGAAAUGAGAAAGCAUGAGAAGACUGGGCCGUCAGGGGCACCUCACUCAUGCAUCCUGUGUACUUAGGUAGCUAUCUGUUGAAUUAGUUAGCUAUUGCUGGGUAACAAACUACCCCAAACACAGUGGUGUAAACACCCCACCCCCCACAACCCCACCUAUGAGCUCGCAGUUCCAUUGGUGCGAAGACUGGCUAGAUUCUCCGCUCAGGGUCGUCUCGCUGGGCUGACAUCAAGGCAUUGGUGGGGCUGUGUCUCCUUCUGGAGAUCCUGGGGAAGAAUCUGUCUCCAAGCUCAUUCAGGUUGUCAGCAGAAUCCAGUUCCUUGUGGCUGUAGGACAGAAGUCCCACCUCCUUGACUGGAAGCCCUCCUUCAUCUUCAAGCCAGCCACAAUACUGUGUUGAUCCUUUAAGUUUCAGAUCUCUCAGGCCACCACCCUCACCCUCCUGACCACAUCUCUAUCUCCUCUUCCACCUCUGUACCCAAGGACGCCUGUGAUGAUACUGGACUCACUGGGAAUAACUGAGGACGAUCUCCCUAUCGAAGGGUCAAUGGAUUAGAAAUCUUUCCUACCUCUGCCAAGUCCCCUUUGCUGUGUGGGGUUAUGUAUUAAGGGGUGUGGUUUCAUAUCCCGCUCACAGCUCUGGGGACGGGGUGGAAUCUGCCUGGGAUCCCACCUUCUCACUCACACAGCCUGGAUGCACACACUGGAAGGACAGUGGAGCACCAGGCGAACCCAGCCCCAUUCCCUGGAAGUGACUUUGCAGACAGCUCAGGUGAGCAAUGGAAGGGCCUCUACCCCGGGUUCUGGUCCACAGGAAACAGCUGCCUGGGAGCCUCCUGAGGACGUUAUGCCAGAUAGUGUGUUCCUGGGAUCCCCAGGCUGAUAAUUUUCCCAUCUAUCUAGAAGCAAAACACAGGGUCUUGAAAAGAAAUAGGAAAUAUUCCCACGUCGUGUGGGGAAAGCAGAUGCAAAACCAGUCUUCCAUCACUGUAAUGCACCCAGGAUGAAAGUACCUGGCUGUGUCUGGCUCCAUAUUCUUGACUGUGGCCCUUCAGGGCUCCUGGCGGAAUGAUUGUUUCAUUGUUGUCUGAUACGCUUGGCGCUCCUGCAUGGUGCAGUGAUUUGGGACCCAGUAACUUCAGUGACAUUUGGUGGCAAUAAAGUCCAGCUCUACAGGGCCCAAGUGACCCCCAACCACUCCCUCCUCCUAGUCCAACACUGAGCACUUCACAACAAUCCCAGAUAAUAACACACACCCCGGGGAGACGCCAGGCUCCUUACUUUACGUGUGUGUGUGUUACAACAUGAUUCCCAAGCAGCUCUGCCAGUCUCAAGCAUGACUGCGCCCAGGCUGAUAGGAGCCCCGGGAUGGUGGGUGAGGGUCUGUCUGCAGGGCCCUGAGAGAUGAGGAGAACAGCGUGCCUCACAGCUCUCCUUUUUGAAAGUCUACUCCUACGGCAGCACCUGAGAGCAGUGGGGACGCCUGCACACCAGGUCCCUGGCUAAACCAUGACAAUAAAAGCAGGCUCUGACCAGCUUCCUCGUGAAGCGCCUUGUUUCCAUUAACUACACUUUCUGGUUACCCAGGGAUUCCAUUUUGCUC
Macaca fascicularis (crab-eating macaque) is the source of this 2307-nucleotide long non-coding RNA. Lineage: Eukaryota; Metazoa; Chordata; Mammalia; Primates; Cercopithecidae. The record is from Ensembl.